GGACUGUGUGUUUCUAUCUUGACUGUAUUUAAGAACCCUUUGCCCGUUGCAGAACAUAAUGUAUAUAGGUAUCAUUUAGUAAUACCUGCUUUACCUGACCUGGGUAAGGUGACCAACUUUACCGUCUCUGCUGACAUAGGAGAAAAAAAAACGAGCUGUCCUGGAGAUGCAUUUUCUUCCAGAGAGGGAGAUGAAGGAACACAGAGACUAAAUUAAAUUUCUAUCUGAUGAAUAUCAGAUAGUGGUCACUAUAUCUGUGGCAACUGCCAAUAGCAGUAAAGCACUGAUCAGCAUCAAACAUGAGUCUAUCUUUGAUUAAUAUUAGCUCUAUUUCUGAUGACACAUGAUUUAUUGAGUCCACAUUUGAACUGAAUCACAUGGGCUAUAUGUUUUUGUUUGAUCGAAUUUAUAUUCUGCCAUUAUGAAGCUUGACUCGAUGCAUUAAAUGUCAUUCAGUUACUGAGAAUAAAAUUAUGUGAAAAACUACUUUAGAACUGCAAUGGGUUGCAUUUUAAAAUGAUUAAAUAAACGUUUUCCCAUAUACAAACAUUGUUGUCUUAUGGAAAAAUAAAAUUCAGUGUAUAGUUUAGAUUGUAUGAGAAUAAUGUGAGAUGUCACGUCUGCUUCAUCUACCGUAUCAGAACACAGAGAUGCCAAAUGUUUUUGUUUCAGAAACUGGAGCCAAUUUUCUAUUGCUGUGGUGUCAGUGGGGGUACCUGCUUUACCUGUCCUUGCAAAGUGUUAUUUUUGUAAUGUUUUCACAUUUUACAAUUAAUCUUAUAUCUGUUUCCACUCAUUUUAUUUUAAGCACUUUUUUUUCUUGAAUUGUAUUAAAUAAAUGUAUCUAAAUUUAAGACACAGUUUGAGUUCCUUUAUAUGAUAUGUAUCAGUAAGAAUUAAGGUAAAAUCACUUUUUGUAACUCUGAUUUUUACAAUUAAUAAAGAGAAUUCUUCCA
Long non-coding RNA from Dicentrarchus labrax (European seabass), 956 nucleotides. RefSeq lists it as uncharacterized. The transcript is spliced from 2 exons. The record is from RefSeq and is a predicted model, not a curated record. Lineage: Eukaryota; Metazoa; Chordata; Actinopteri; Moronidae.